CUUUUUUUCUUCUUCUUUUUUUUUUUUCUCUCUUUUUUUCAACCGCGGGCGGUGAAGAGCUUGUUGACUUAAGCGCGUGGCAAAUUUCGUCCUUUCAAACGUUUUCCACCGCGAAUACGGCUCCUCUACCCCACGCUUCUUCGAGGAUUACGCCCACGAAAUGGUUCUAUGUACUCUGCAUCGCAUUGUUACAUCGAUCCUUUUUUGUGAACUCUUUUUCUUUUUCUUCUUUUCUUUAAUAUUGAUUGAAACUCUUUUAAAAUAACUACAGCGGCUACAAAAAAAAACUAUUUACACAUUGUUGCUUUCCUAGGAAUUGUAUUUUUAUCAAGUUCUAUAUCAAGCUUUACUUUCGUCAGUAUCAAAUUUUUGUUCAUUUAUAUGAAUUCGAACUUCCAUCGAAUGAUAUAAAAAUCUAUUAAUUAAUAUGUAUAAAAUACGAUAUAACUUAUGCAAUGCACAUUUUUUACAAUUGAUAUAACGAGAACGUGAUAAACACGUUUGAGCAAUAAUUAUUUGAUAAUUUAUUUUAUCAAAUAUCCUGAACUUUUUCCGGCCCAUUACGCGUUCGAGUUCGACGGCAGACUUUGAGCUAAAGAGACUGGUAAGUCGAACUUUCGUAAUUACAAUAAACAAGUCCCGGUUGCCGCGAUAAAACGCCCCGCCACCAAGCACAAACGCCUCACGGUAAUAGCAUGCAAAUUGUUGGCUUACCUAACGUCUGGACUCCUUGGGUUCUUUUGAAAUGUGAUUUCUUACUACUUUGAAUCCGAACAGGGUUUACCGCCCUUUGAAGCUUGAUAUUUUUGUAAGAGGGUUCGAGAGUGUUCCGCGCGAGCGGAAUAUCGAGCACGAUAUUAUCGCGGAUUUAUUUUCAUCACUGUGAAAAUUGUAUCUUCUUUUUCCUUUUUUUUUCCGAUUCUACGAUCCAUUAAAAAUCUCUUAAUAAGUUCACUCAGUCAAUAAAAUACCUCGUUUUAAUCCUUCCAUCGACUUGUUCACAAUCUAAUCCAAGAACCACGAUAAACCAGCAGAUCCAUAAACCGACCUAGGAAAAGCUGACAUCUAAAUAAAUACAAGAUACCGCUCGAAUCGUUCCACCCCCGAGGAAAUCGCUUGGAAUAAUAAUCCCCCUCUCCGUCCAAACCAUAAGUUUCUCGCCGCAUCCUCCGCGGCAACGGAACCGCGUUCCUAAAUUAGUGUUCAUCUUUGCCAGGCGAAACACGGAAAGACGUAUGCAUCCUAGGUAUACAGGUACUUAUGCGGCCAUUCUAAUAACAGUAUGCCAAGCCUCUCUCGUCCCACUAUGAGCGACGUUCUGUCCGUUCCCGUGGCCGAAUCGCCCGCAGCGUGGCGUGAUCCGGUAGCAUUUGAAAACGGCACACGUCCCGAUACGUCUCCCUGCCCACUCUGCUCCUCGCAUCGAAGGAAUAAGCCUCGCAAAUCGGCGCUCGUAUAUAUACGAUAUUUGCGCCAUUAUCCGGCCGAUUCUAAUAAGCGCGUGUCAAUUCCUCCCGUCGAUAAAGGAGAAAUCCCGGAGUACGGUAGGGAAGAAUGGUCUGUGGCCUGUGGCGUGGCGUGAUCGAAAGUGGCACUCGAAAGCGAGCCGGUCCCUGCAUCCGAAUUCCGGAACGCAUCGGAUAGUAGGCGAGCGCCAUGUUGAGCGCCUCUUAAUUCGUGAUAAAACAUUGGUUCGCCCUUUAUUGAGCAUUCGCCGUGUUCACCUACGGCGCGAACACGAUCCUCGGAUAUCCUCCUCCUUCGGGAUUCCUUACGGGGCGUUUACGUGCAUGCUAAAAGCUUGUUCCAAGGAAGCGGUGCGCUCAAAAAAGAGCGCGCAAGAAAAUACGAAAAUACGAGGCCAUCGGGAGUAGUUGGGCGCAAAUGGUUCCUAACACGUAUUAUAAGCAUGAUUAGCAUAAGUGUCUGUGUGAAAAGGAAACGAUUUUGUUAAUAUCCUUAUUCAUCGAUAACGUUCGAUCAUUUUUAUCUCUCCAUGUACAACCUGAUCGUGUAUAUCUAGAUACGUGCAGGCACGUGUGUAGAAGAGGUAGCCGAGGUGCUAGUGUUAGAUUGCUCGGAAAUGUUGAAGGAGGGGAGAAAAGUCGGCGGAAGAGCGGCGAGAAGAGAAAAGAUUCGGGGUCCUGGUACGGAGAACUCUGAAGAGACUUUAUCAUCGCGCUCGGUCGCUCGCCUCUCUCAUUAGUUGGCUGGCACGCCGCCCCCGGGGCCGGCCUGUGCGUGAGUUUAAUCUGUGCGCGAACCGUGGAGAGCGCGUGUAUGCGUGAACUCACCGCUCGUCCUCGCUUAACGCGCACCCGUCCCGUCCUGGACCCGCACACGUAGCCCUUCUCCUCCUCUUCCUCUUCUUCUUCUUCUUCUUCUUCUUCUUCCUCCUCUUCGUCUUCUUCUUCUUCUUCUUCGCCUUCGUCUUCGACUUCUUCGUGAUUUGCUCCGUGCGCGUUACGAGCAUCGCAGUACGCGGGACGCAUGAUCCGCUCGGCGUGUGCGUGCGAGACAAGAGAUGCAGCGUGGGCGGCGCGCACGCUACGGCAUUCCGGAGCUGGCCCGGCAGCAGCGGCACGAAACCGCGUAAUAUGGGAAUGCGUGGAGGCUUGAUUUUAAGUGGAGAGAACAAAUAUCCCUCCCGAUGCGCGUCGGGACCUAGACCUCAAUUAUCAUGGAAUCCCGACGGGAUAAAUUCGAGGUUAGAAACCUCGGGGACCUGGAAGAAAUUCAAAGAUCGAGGAAGGGAUCCUUGGUUGGAUGGAGAUACGGGAGGAGAGUCGCGUGAGACUUUUCAGUUGAAUGGAAAGCCAUCGAUCGCUUUUAAAAGAAAACUUUUAUAGAUGAGGCUCAAACGAGAUAAACUUAUCAUCUCUCCUCCCUCCUUCUUUUUUUCGAAAUCUUCUUUUUACCAAUAGACAUUAAACUUACGUUCGUUAUUUCCUUUUACAAUAAUUCCUUUCGCACAUCUCGUGUAUCCUCUUCCCAAAAUCCGUUCCGGAAAAUCUUCUCCUUCCUCGAUUCGAAAUCUUAAGAAAGGAAAUGGUCCCCCGGCUCGUCGUUCACGAUUCAGCUCGAUUCGAUGGAUAUCCCCUCCGGACGGGGCAAGGGAAGGACAGAAAGGAGGAGGAGAAGAAUGCACUCGUCAUUACGCGGCUACGUGACGAUCAAAAGGAGGCCUGCCGGUAUUUACAGCCGUGCCGGGGCACGGAUCGCGCGGCUACCCGAUCGAUCGUUCAAGCUCCUGUCGCGCGGAACCCCAACCGAGCGUCGAGCAAUUCUCGUUCUUCAAACAACGCCAAUAUGUUGGUUCGUGGGUCACUGCUUUGGCACGAAACUCGUACACACAUGGUCGGCGGCGGUGAGGGAAGAAACGGAGGGAUCGCGGGGUGGGGCGGGGACGGCGUCGUCUGCCGGCGGUAUAGGGUGAAAUUUAGUGCGGAAUAUAAGGGACCCUCCCGAGCUUGGCCUAAGGCGGGGUUUACAGCCCUCCUUGUGAAUCUGGCCGUGUGCGCAUACAUUUUCAAAACUCACUUCGAUCCACCAGGUUGGAAGGGAUCGCAUUGUCGGAGACAAUUCUCUAUCUUUUCUCCCUCCGCCCCAUCUCUCCCCCUCUGCCCGCGUUACCUUCCCUUCCCCCGCUGCUUCCUUCCUCUUCCUUUUCACGCGGCGGGGCCAGAGCCACGCGUCCGACGGAUACGAUGUUGUUGGACGUUGGAGAAUUUCUCGAGAGAACUUGCCCUCCCUCCCUUCCCCUUCGAAGAAAGGGAUGCCAGCUCCUCCCCAGGUUUUCCGCCCUUCGCGCCACUUGGCGACGACGCGUCCGACGCGGCCCAAUUAAACUUUUAGUGCCCGGUUAAACGCGCGCGCGUCGCCCGCUCUUUCUCCAACCUCGCCGGCACCGGUGUUAACCGAUGAAAGGGAAAAUUCAAGGGACAAUUUUCUGGACACGAUAAUCGAACUUGUGUUGUAUGGAUGGAUUGUAAGGCCUAAUGCCAAUGUGAUGAACCGUAGCCGAUUCUAAUUAAAUAGAACAAGCUCGAAAAAUAGCAGAACGAAAAGGUUUCAGAGCCAUGAUCGUCUAAAUCCGCGAGGAGGCUUUGGGCGAAGCGAUUCGACGAAAUUCUAGCCUCGAACCCGGCCCGGCAUAGAUCCACCCUCGCUUCUAACCACACAUAAACGGGUAGCCACGGGGCCUCAGGCCUUACGGAUGACUUAUGCUCGCUCAAGUUAUUUGAACUCGUCGGUGCAUCGAGUGGUGGCACAGUGAAUCGUCCCCGACGUCUUUGUCGAUGCUCUGUGCAAAUGUUAGCACACAAGACGUACGCCGAAUCUCUGUGUCUGUUGUCUGCUGAUGGAUCAGAGAGAGGUAGUAUCUUGUCUUGGUUGAAAUUGAAUUGUACCUCCUUUCGUAAUUUCCACGUGAAUGGCAUGUAUAGUAUGAUACUUAUUUCAACUUAUUAGCAGCUAAGUAUUAUCGAUCUAUGGAGAAAUAAUGAAAUUUGAAU
Long non-coding RNA from Apis cerana (Asiatic honeybee), 4514 nucleotides. RefSeq lists it as uncharacterized. Lineage: Eukaryota; Metazoa; Arthropoda; Insecta; Hymenoptera; Apidae. The record is from RefSeq and is a predicted model, not a curated record.